RNAcentral lists this unclassified non-coding RNA (1100 nucleotides) under Petaloconchus montereyensis. RNAcentral's name for it is "partial 16S ribosomal RNA". It matches the Rfam family "Bacterial large subunit ribosomal RNA", at positions 570 to 2597 of the family's 2925-position model. Lineage: Eukaryota; Metazoa; Mollusca; Gastropoda; Littorinimorpha; Vermetidae. The record is from RNAcentral.
GCAGGUUAAAGUACAUGUAUGAUUACAGUACUGUGAAGGAAGGAAUAAAGCUUAGUUAAGCAAUAUAACAAUAUGUACCUUUUGCAUCAUGGCUUAGCGAGAAGAAAGGCCAUAUUGGUAUUUCUCGAAAUCUAAUGAGCGACCUAAUUACCUACGUUAGUAGUAAAUACUUAAUGUGGCACCAUUAAUUUUUAGAUAAAUUAGGUAGAAAUUAUAUGUUAUACGUAUUAGAUGAUAGCUAGUUCUCUCAUAGAUGUAUGAAGUACAGGGGUCCCUAUGAAUCCAUGUAUCAACUUUACAUGCAUGCAAUUUAGGACUACUGAGGCUUUUGAGGAUAAGCUCACUAGCGAAAGGGUGUUUAAGAUAAUAUAUACUUCUGAGCUUAGAAUUUGCUAAGAUUUAGUUUGUUAUAAAUAAUUGAUAGAUAAUAAAAAGAUAGGAUAACGAAACGGAUAUGAGAGCAUAGAUACCAGCAAAAAUAUCUAAACAAAAUGCUAAGAUAAGUAUUUGCAUAAUUAAAAACUACAAUAAUUAACGGGGGGGUUUGUAUUACAUAUGUUAGUAUAAAUAUAUAGAAAGGAACUUGGCAAAGGCGUUCCCCGCCUGUUUAUCAAAAACAUGUCUCUUUGUGGAUUACGUAUAGAGAGUCGUGCCUGCCCAAUGCUCAUGUAAAUGGCCGCGGUACUCUGACCGUGCAAAGGUAGCAUAAUAAUUUGUUUAUUAAUUGUAGACUGGAAUGAAGGGCUUGACGGGGGAACAACUGUCUCCUUAUAUAUCAUUAAAAAUUGACUUUUUGGUUAAAAGGCCAAAAUACCAAACCUAGACGAAAAGACCCUAUGAGCUUUAUAUAAAUAUAUUGAUGAUAAUAUAGAUAUAUUUGGUUGGGGCAACAGAAGAACAAAAGAAGCUUCUUUAAACUUAAAAUUAAGAUAUAGAGCCGACAUCGUUUCGACAUAUAGAAAAAGCUACCGUAGGGAUAACAGCGUUAUUUUAUUAAAGAGUUCAUAUCGAAAAUAAAGAUUGCGACCUCGAUGUUGGACUAGAAUAUCCGGAGGGUGCAGCCGCUUUUAAAGGUUGGUCUGUUCGACCAUUAAAAUUCU